AGAGUUUGAUCCUGGCUCAGGAUGAACGCUGGCGGCGUGCCUAACACAUGCAAGUCGAACGGGGUCUUAGUACGGAAGUUUUAGGAUGGAAGGAUUAAGACUUAGUGGCGGACGGGUGAGUAACGCGUGGGUAACCUCGCCCUGUACGAGGGGAUAACAGUUAGGAAACGGCUGACUAAACCGCAUAACAUGGAGAUACCGCAUGAAUAUUUCCAUACAAAUUAUUUAGUAGGUACGAGGAGUCGGGCCCGCGUCUGAUUACGCCAGGUUGGCAGGUAAUGGCCUACCAAAGCGACGAUCAGUAGCCGGCUUGAGAGAGUGACCGGCCACAUUGGGACUGAGACACGGCCCAAACUCCUACGGGAGGCAGCAGUGGGGGAUAUUGCACAAUGGGGGAAACCCUGAUGCAGCGACGCCGCGUGAGUGAAGAAGUAUUUCGGUAUGUAAAGCUCUAUCAGCAGGGAAGAAAAUGACGGUACCUGACUAAGAAGCCCCGGCUAACUACGUG
RNAcentral lists this ribosomal RNA (508 nucleotides) under uncultured Lachnospiraceae bacterium. RNAcentral describes it as "bacterial SSU rRNA". It matches the Rfam family "Bacterial small subunit ribosomal RNA", at positions 8 to 507 of the family's 1533-position model. Lineage: Bacteria; Bacillati; Bacillota; Clostridia; Lachnospirales; Lachnospiraceae. The record is from RNAcentral.